Molecule: long non-coding RNA, 1096 nt
Filed under: Homo sapiens (human)
Lineage: Eukaryota; Metazoa; Chordata; Mammalia; Primates; Hominidae
Description: HSALNT0026369
Source: RNAcentral
UUUUUCUUAAUUUAAUUAUCAUUUUCCACACAUAUUCAUUUGCAAACUCCUCUUCUAAACCCAAAUCUCCUUUGUUUCUCAGCACUGGUUGACUUUUUAAAGCGGAUGUCUUUGAAAUGCACUAAUGUCCAAAGAUAAAUGUGUUGCCUCAAGCACCACUUCAGGGUUGUCAGCCCCAGAGGAUGAGUCAUCAGGAAGAUCAUUAAGGAAGAUUUUAAUAUAAGAAGACUUUAUUGGAUAUCUGUGAUUUGCAGAACACUGUUGAGAAACAAACAACACACAGAAUGCAAGCUUGCCUUUAAAAAUGUGUAUCCUAAUUAGGGAAAUAAUUAUGUUUCCAUGUAUAUCAUAUGUACACACACACAUACACAUAGGUAUGUAUGAUCAUCUCAUGUAUGUCAUAUAUGUGUAUUUGUGUGUAUAGAUAUACUUUUUUUUGUUAGAACAACUACAUCAAUGUGAACCAAAAAACUCACAAUGGCAGAAGAGGCCUCUGAGUCUGUUUCUUAUCUAUUUCUGAGCAUCACUAGGCACCUCUCUCCUGUGUAAUUCAUAUGACAACAACGUACACUAUGACAUGUGUUUAUUUUACCAAAUGUUGUUCUUUCAUUUGUCUUGAAUACGCUGAAUUCCCCUGCUCACCUGAACAACUGUAUUCAUCUCCCAAAACCUGUCUCUUGAUUCUGGGUAAAGAUUUUGCUUAUUGAGUCACUUCAGGUUAGUGUCCAGUCUUUUGGAUUCUGAUAUAGUGUGGGUGUGUCCCCACCCAAAUCUCAUCUUGAAUCGUAGUUCCCAUAAUUCCCAUGUGUUGCGGAAGGGACUUCCUGGAAGGUAAUCAAAUCACGGGGGUGGGUCUUUCCCGUGCUGUUCUUGCGAUAGUGAAUAAGUCUCACAAGAUCUGAUGCUUUUAUAAAGGGUAGUUCCCUUGCACACGCUUUCUUGCCUGCCACCAUGUAAAUUGUGCCCUUGUUCCUCCUUCAUCUCCUGCCAUGAUUGUGAGGCCUCCCCAGCCACGUGCAACUGUGAGUCCAUUAAAUCUCUUUCCUUUAUAAAUUACCCAGUCUCAGGUAUGUCUUCAUUAGCAGCAUGAGAACAG